This 252-nucleotide ribosomal RNA is filed under the name uncultured bacterium. RNAcentral's name for it is "partial 16S ribosomal RNA". It matches the Rfam family "Bacterial small subunit ribosomal RNA", at positions 1234 to 1500 of the family's 1533-position model. The record is from RNAcentral.
CUGGUACAAUGCGAAGCGAAGCAGUGAUGUGAAGCAAAUCGCACCAAAGCCAGUCCCAGUUCGGAUAAGAGGCUGAAACUCGCCUCUUUGAAGUCGGAAUCGCUAGUAAUCGCAGAUCAGCAUGUUGCGGUGAAUACGUUCCCGGGUCUUGUACACACCGCCCGUCAAACCAUGAGAGUCACCAACACCCGAAGUCCGCCUUGGCGGCCUAAGGUGGGGGAGAUGAUUGGGGUUAAGUCGUAACAAGGUAAC